Molecule: ribosomal RNA, 253 nt
Filed under: uncultured bacterium
Lineage: Bacteria
Description: partial 16S ribosomal RNA
Rfam family: Bacterial small subunit ribosomal RNA
Source: RNAcentral
UACGGGGGGGGCAAGCGUUGUUCGGAAUUACUGGGCGUAAAGGGCUCGUAGGCGGCCAACUAAGUCAGACGUGAAAUCCCUCGGCUUAACCGGGGAACUGCGUCUGAUACUGGAUGGCUUGAGUUUGGGAGAGGGAUGCGGAAUUCCUGGUGUAGCGGUGAAAUGCGUAGAUAUCAGGAAGAACACCGGUGGCGAAAGCGCUCUGCUAGGCCGCAACUGACACUGAGGGACGAAAGCUAGGGGAGCGAAUGGG